This 253-nucleotide ribosomal RNA is filed under the name uncultured bacterium. Its description in RNAcentral is "partial 16S ribosomal RNA". It matches the Rfam family "Bacterial small subunit ribosomal RNA", at positions 524 to 776 of the family's 1533-position model. The record is from RNAcentral.
UACGUAGGUGGCAAGCGUUGUCCGGAUUUACUGGGCGUAAAGAGCGCGCAGGCGGUCGUUCAAGUCGCGUGUGAAAGCCCCCGGCUCAACUGGGGAGGGUCACGCGAUACUGAUCGACUGGAAGGCAGGAGAGGGAAGCGGAAUUCCCGGUGUAGUGGUGAAAUGCGUAGAUAUCGGGAGGAACACCAGUGGCGAAGGCGGCUUCCUGGCCUGUUCUUGACGCUGAGGCGCGAAAGCUAGGGGAGCAAACGGG